UACGUAGGUGGCAAGCGUUGUCCGGAAUUAUUGGGCGUAAAGCGCGCGCAGGCGGCUUCUUAAGUCUGAUGUGAAAGCCCACGGCUCAACCGUGGAGGGUCAUUGGAAACUGGGGAGCUUGAGUACAGAAGGGGAGAGUGGAAUUCCAUGUGUAGCGGUGAAAUGCGUAGAUAUAUGGAGGAAUACCGAUGGCGAAGGCAGCCCCCUGGGAUAAUACUGACGCUCAGGCACGAAAGCGUGGGGAGCAAACAGG
RNAcentral lists this ribosomal RNA (253 nucleotides) under uncultured bacterium. RNAcentral describes it as "partial 16S ribosomal RNA". It matches the Rfam family "Bacterial small subunit ribosomal RNA", at positions 524 to 776 of the family's 1533-position model. The record is from RNAcentral.